UUUUAUCCACCAUUCAUAUGCUUUUUAGUGCUACUUUAUUUCAAAUAAAAAAAAUGGAACAAUUGGUAGAAAAUUAUGUGUAAGGAGCUAUAAAAGAGAGGUUGUGAGUUCAAAUCCUAUAUCCCCUGUUUUAGUUUUUUCUCCAUUUUAUUUUUAUUUUUAUCACAUUUUUCAUCCUAUUAUUAUAAAAAUCGUUUUCACUUGUUUUUAA
RNAcentral lists this long non-coding RNA (211 nucleotides) under Lathyrus oleraceus (garden pea). RNAcentral's name for it is "Pisum sativum (pea) long non-coding RNA (PSAT_LNC020084)". The record is from RNAcentral. Lineage: Eukaryota; Viridiplantae; Streptophyta; Magnoliopsida; Fabales; Fabaceae.